Molecule: ribosomal RNA, 421 nt
Filed under: uncultured bacterium
Lineage: Bacteria
Description: partial 16S ribosomal RNA
Rfam family: Bacterial small subunit ribosomal RNA
Source: RNAcentral
AAUUUUGGACAAUGGGGAAACCCCUGAUCAGGCCACCCCGGGGGAAGAAGAAAGGCCUUGGGGUGGAAAGGUCUUUUGGGCAAGGAAGAAAGGUUACUCCUAAUUAGAGAUACCUCUGGCGGUUUCCGCAGAAUAAGCCACUGCUAACUACGUUCCAGCAGCCGCGGUAAUACGUAGGGUGCAAGCGUUAAUCGGAAUUACUGGGCGUAAAGCGUGUGUAGGCGGUUCGGAAAGAAAGAUGUGAAAUCCCAGGGCUCAACCUUGGAACUGCAUUUUUAACUGCCGAGCUAGAGUAUGUCAGAGGGGGGUAGAAUUCCACGUGUAGCAGUGAAAUGCGUAGAUAUGUGGAGGAAUACCGAUGGCGAAGGCAACCCCCUGGGAUAAUACUGACGUUCAGACACGAAAGCGUGGGGAGCAAACA